UGCAAGGGCACUCUGUGUUAAUAAUAAUACAUAUUUUAAUUACAAUUUGUUACCUUGCUACAUCAAAUCUACUAAACCCUAUUCCGAGCAACUAAGACAUGGGUGCUUGGUCAUAUUAGAAGAUACAGU
Molecule: small nucleolar RNA, 129 nt
Organism: Colias croceus (clouded yellow)
Lineage: Eukaryota; Metazoa; Arthropoda; Insecta; Lepidoptera; Pieridae
Product: small nucleolar RNA psi18S-841/snoR66
Exons: 1
Source: RefSeq, a predicted model, not a curated record